This is a long non-coding RNA of Conger conger (European conger), 6386 nucleotides long. RefSeq lists it as uncharacterized. NCBI's taxonomy places the organism in Eukaryota, Metazoa, Chordata, Actinopteri, Anguilliformes, Congridae. The record is from RefSeq and is a predicted model, not a curated record. The transcript has 2 exons.
CGGCCGACUCCCAGACCCGACAGAAAGUCCGCCCCCUCGCUCCGGGUUCUGCCCCUGCUGCUCGCUGCAGGUCCGGGUUCUGCCCCUGCUGCUCACUGCAGGUGGUGUUUUUCCUCCUUUCAGACGUCUCCGGAGCAGACGGCACGAUCGAAUGGAACCGCCCGAUAUUUCGCGCCCACUCCCUCACCCUGACAUCCUUCCUGGGGGAUUGGGGAACCAUUUGCGGGUUCCGCAGGGUUCCGCAGGACGGGAUUAGCUUCAGGGAACAGGCGGUGUGGCCACCAGAAAGUGCUACGUUAAACGUCGCUGUACUAACAUAUUAACUAGAGCCAGAAGAGGAGGCAGUGUGUGGUAGCUGCUGUUUGGGUCUGCUCCGUGCCUGUGCGUGACAAUGCCAGAAUGCACAUAAAGCACUUUAUACGUGCCUUGUGCCGCACACAGGCCCAGUUGUCGAGCGUACGUUCCUCACGUAAUUACAGUUCCUCUCCCUGGUCUUCCGUCUGUCCUCAGGGAGGGGCACGUUGUUCUGCGGACGCUUCCCGUAAGUGAGGAGUCAGCAUCUGCGUCCAGCCCUCCCCGGGCACGGAAAAUAUGCCUGUGAAGUUCUCCUCAUUCCUUGUGAAUUAUUUUGUCAGUUUCAUUCGCUACCUCGGCUGAGAAUAGGUCCUUUUAAAAACUAACAGCCGGACCCUCAGAGCUCCGCUGGGCGAUGGCGGUGUCAGUCCUCGUGCCUCGGUGGGGGGCCGCACUCAGAAGCUGGAUGCCCUGCUAGUGUCUGUAUCCUCUGCACAUUACCUCACCCCCACCCCCUCCCCCAACAUCCAUAGUUCGCUAAGUGACAGGAUUCCUUGGUGCUGCAUUCAGAUCCUCCCCUUGAAUUUCCUCAGACGGCCGGCGGAAUGUUCCGGAUGGUGCCGGCACAUUAGCGACGGCGGGCAGACACAGUGCUGGGGAGCAGCGAGACUGUCUCUGUGGGGAAAAAUGGGAACCAAUUAUAAGCUGUUGCCGCCCCUCGCCCGCCUGGUCGUUAAGGACUGAUGAAUAUGUAUGUUGGAAGGGGAGGCGGUGGUUGGAAUUGGGUCAGGCUGGGUGUCGGACGACGUGCUCCUUGUUAGCUGAAGCGGAGCACGCUGUGACAGGAGACCAGCCUCCCUUGCCCAGCGGCUGCAUGGGCCCCCCCGUGGCAUUGUGGGACAGAACAUCCGCAGAUUUACAGCUGUCCGCUUCCCCGGCUAAUGUGCGCGCUUCCUGUGAGCCCGGAGAUUUACAGCGGUGUGCGGCCGCGAUGGGGAGGUUUGCAUUGCAGCAAGGAUGCCUAAUCUAACGUCAACAUAAACACCGGGCCUGCAUUCAGGAAAGCAGUAGAUUGUCGUCUAACGCAUUGGUCUAUAUUUGUACUUAUACUGUACUUGUGUGCGGGCGUGUGUAUGAAUUUUUAUUUUCUUUUAUUUCUUUUAUUUAAUUUAAUUCUAUUUUGUUUUGUAAAAACACAUUCGACUCUACGUACUGCCAGAGUUUCAUAACUCAAGGACUAAUAAAGUCGUAUAAAAGCAUAAUGCUCAUUGGAAAAUGGAAAUUUCGAGCUGCGUUUUAUGCUCUUCCUGAGAAUUCCGUUUUUUGUGUACAACAGUGAUUAUUACAGUCAAGUGUAAUUAUUGGUGCCAAGGUAAAACCUUAUAUCUCUAAACAUGCCAUUUUCAAUAACAACCUAAAAUUAUUCUUUCCAUUGUCCAAACUAGCAGUGUGGUUUAUUAUGUGGUGUUUCAACUCGACGUUUUAUUAAUUUUGUGAUAAAACACUGACUGUAAACAGAGCUGGAUGAGGACUGCACGUGUUUUAUUUCAAAGAUGACGGUUUUUAACGGCGCUGAAUGUGUACUGUACUUCUCCUAUAAGUAUUGCGACCGUUUGCUGGGUUUCGCUCUGCGGUGAGAAGGAUAUUAAUAACUGCGCCAUUCCCAUGAGACGGCCAUCUUAAGUAGGGAGGCGUGACAAGACUAAUGAACAGGUCAGGUGUGUGCGUCUCAGUGAAAUUUACAAUACAGGAUGCGUGAUUUUAUUUUAUUUAUUUUUUCCGACCACCAUCUUGAUCCUUUAAUCAGACCCCGUAUGGUUAAUAUGGUAAUGUACACGCUAUGGAACAUUCUGGCACAUUUUAUAUCCAGAUUUAUACCUGGCACCGUUCCCUCUCGCCUUGGAGAUUUGAGAGGCAUCUCUAAGCUUUAUAGUUCGAGGGAGGGUUUUGCAACCCAGGUAUAUGAGGAGUUAUUGCAACCAGGAGAGGCGACAUUAAUCACAACUCUCUUGAUAUGUCAGGUGUAACUGGAGGAUUAUAUAUUGUGCUAGUUACUUUGAGUAAAAUUGCAAGACGUGGGAAAUAUUGGAGUUAUUCUUGCUUGCUUGUUGGUAUCUGGGAUUGUGUUAGUAGGAGUAUGCGCGCACACAAACACACACACACACACACACACACACACCAGGCCUGGGUCAAAUGCUAAUACAGAAAUACUGGAACCCUUUAGACAAAUUGAAGUUUCUGCAGAUUGCUGAUUACAUCUGUUUUCACCAAUAUCGAGAAACAGAAUGACCUAUGAUUUGUUUUUGGUCAGUAAUGUGUUUUCAUAAAAGUUCUUGGAGACUUUUACCACCACCUAAAACGUUAACACAUUUUCAGUAAAAACUAAAUGUACAAGAAUGUCAAAUAAUUAUAAUAAUUACUGCGGAAUAUUGGUAAAAAUAUGUUUCAUUUCGUUCAGUAAUCACACAGUUUCACAGGGGGGAAUAGGUUAAUGAAUUUCCGAAAAAUGAUUUGAUCCAGGCGCUGCACUGGCCCAACCCUGGUCUACUCCAGUCAACACACAUUGUCCCCAGAGCUUUUUCCUUAUUGUUUUUCUGACUCAGUUAAGCCACAGUUCUUUUUACAGUUAGAGCUGACCAGUCACCAUGCUAUCAGUACCAUACAAUAUCACUUCAUUCUUUCCUCUACGGGUUUGGCUGAACAGGGAGCACAAACACAUUUGCAAACUCAAUACAUUACCUUUUAACACAUUUGGAUACAGCUCGCUAUAGCAUUUUAAGUUAAAGCAUGUCACACGACCGUUUCCUUGGCGAUGUCCUCGCUGGAUCAACCAGCAGUGCUUUGAGCAGUGACUCCAGACUGGCCCUUGAGGUCAAAGUCUAAUAUUGACAUAAAUACGCUGAUGGAAGGGGGGGGUCAGCAGUGGUUUCUUUGUACUGUAGGGCUCAGGGAUGAGGCACGGAUAUACUUGGGUGCCUUGUGGAUGUGUGUGUGUGUGUGUGUGUAUGUGGGGGGGGGGGUGUCAUGGAACCUACUCAUGACAGUUUCGCUCAAACGACUCAUUCAUCUCCAAGGUGGCACUGUUGAUAGAGGCAGUUUGAUGCGUGCUGACAGACAGGUCCCAUAACGGGGGGUUGGGAUUGAGCUCUGUAGCUGCUCACGUGGCCUCGCCAAUACGCCCUAUCUUUAGAAGCCUUAGAAAAGCGGCCUGCGGGUGCAUUCAUGCCGGCUUCCCGCCUGCUGUGUGCGUUCUCCCACAGCCUCUCAGUCAGGGCCGUGGGGAAGGUCGGUUGUAGUUUUAACCCCCCUCGGUAGUACCUGGCAGCGGAAACCAUGACUGUAUACAUAGGGUAUGUUUCUGACUGUGGCGAGUAUAUUUAGCCGUGUGUGGGCAUGUGUAUACAUGCGUCGAUUCUCUACUAGUCCCGGGUCACGGAACACUUUAGAUGCCUGUAAAGUUUAAAAACAGAUCCCUUAGAAUUUCCUGGUUCAAUAAAACCUUACAAACAUCUUAUUAUAUUUUGUAAUUUUGUACUGAAUAUUAUCUGAAAGUUUUGAAAAUAUAUGUUUUAUCAAUGGAGUAAUCUGCAGUUAUCUUGCUGGUAUCUGAAGUUUUAAAGCAUUUAAAGUGCUUUCCCCUUUGGUCAUAGAGGAGGGAGUGUGGGUCUGUUUUUAUUGGGGAGAUGGUCCUCAGGGAAAUUAUUUUUAAAACGGUUGUUGGUUUGACUGGCGGUACUGUCUCCUCCCUCCUUACAGGGCCCCAGUAAUGAGAUUGUAAUCAUUGUUAUUUUAUGAUGCGUUGCUUGAGCUAAGGCUAGAGGCUCAUCCACACCAAGAACUAUAACUAUAACAAUAACUAUGACCAUAACUAUGUGAGCAUCCGCGCUGAUGAACGAUAACUUUCUGUAGAGUCCCACGGCUUGUUAUCUGCCAUUUUGCCAGUAGUGACACCCUAUUGGAUUUUGAUUGGCUAUCAGUGUUUUAUCGUUCAUGCAGGUAGAAAUCGCUCUGAAACUGGUCCCAGCGACCAGUUCGUCACUGUCGUUUUAGUCGUGGUGUGGACACUGCCAUCCACUUGAGUUCAGGAUUUCAGAUUUAUCGGGGCGGCCUGUAGCGUAAUGUUUAAGGCACAUGACUGGGACCCACAAGGUCGGUGGUUCGAUCCCCGGUGUAGCCACAAUAAGAUCCGCCCAGCCGUUGGGCCCUUGCGCAAAACCCUUAACCGUGCAUUGCUCCAGGGGAGGAUUGUCUCCUGCUUAGUCUAAUCAACUGUAAGUCGCUUUGGAUAAAAGCGCCAGCCGAAUGCACUGUAAUGUGGUUAUAGGUGUUAUCGUUCUUGGUGUGGAUGGGCUUUAAGUUCACUCCUCCGAUCUUGUGGAAGCAGGCGCUCCGUCACUGCCUGUUUUCUCGAUCGCCUCAUUCCUCAUUCCUGGUCCGUAAGGCGCGGUGGGAUAAGAGGCUGUGCGGUAUCUCGUCUGAGAAGCUCUCUCUCCCGUCGCCAUAGCGAGGCCGCUCUCCCUCUCUCUCUCUCUCUCUGAGGCCCCGACUCUCUCCCUCUCUCAGAGCCGGUGACCCGCGACCUCUCUGGAACACACCUCUGCCUUAUCUGGCCUCUCCUGUGGGUAUCGCUCCCAAUAAUAAACAGGGAAGGGAAAGGCCUGCUUCCGCUGGCAGUUAUGAGGUCAUGGCCGGUCUGUUCAUCCCGGGGAUACGCGCAAAUGCCGUUCUCUUGAGAGAGAGAGUGAAAGUAAUGAAAAAUCUAACACCGCCACUUCUGGCCUUUCCAAAAUGUGGAACCGUCCACUUGUUCCGAACGUUUUUACUUGAAGUGCGAGGAUAAAAGUUUUUGAGAAUCAUACCUACUUCAUAACCCCUUUCUGAGGGAAAAGACUGGUGAAUGGUGAAUUUUAUGUGCACCUUCAGACACAUCCUUGACAAUGGGUUUAGUUUUAGUUUUCUUAAACUAUUUCAGCUACUCAAAGUAGUCAUAGCAUAUGACUUGUGUCUUAUACUUGCUUGCACUUUAAUAACACUAUACUUUCGUAACAAUCUAUAAAAUAUGCAGCCAUUAAUUAACUCUCUUUGCCCUGACUGACCAGAUGUUGAGUUAUUACAGCUUUUAGAUUUACUUUUUCAAAAGUUCAUCAUUAUUUUAUUUUAUUGUUUUUACCUCAAACAAACAGUUGUCUGUCUGACAAUUCCUUGGUGGUCCUCAGCAGCUGUUGAAGUGAAGAGUACUGAGGAAAUGGAAGUCCCUCUCGAUGUGUAUAUAGAAAUGUGUACUGUACUUCUUGCCUGUACGGUUCUGCCCUACUGCCAUUCUGGAGCAUUUCUGGAGAUGGUGAGCUGGACACCUCAUUUCAACGGACCAGAGGGACAGCCUGUAGCCCAGUGGCUAAGGUACAUGACUGGGGCAGCCUGUAGCCCAGUGGCUAAGGUACAUGAGUGGGGCAGUAUGUAGCCUAGUGGCUAAGGUACAUGACUGGGGCAGCCUGUAGCCUAGUGGCUAAGGUACAUGACUGGGGCAGCCUGUAGCCUAGUGGCUAAGGUACAUGACUGGGGCAGCCUGUAGCCUAGUGGCUAAGGUACAUGACUGGGGCAGCCUGUAGCCUAGUGGCUAAGGUACAUGACUGGGGCAGCCUGUAGCCUAGUGAUUAAGGUACAUGACUGGGGCAGCCUGUAGCCUAGUGGCUGGGACCCGGAAGGUUGGUGGUUCAGGCCCCGGUGUAGCUGUUGGGCCCUUGAGCAAGGCUUUUAACCCCGCGGGUUAACUCCAGGGGGGAUUGUCCCCUGCUUAGUCUAAUCAACUGUUAGUUGCUUUGGAUAAAAGCGUCAGCUAAAUAUCGAGUUAUUAUUACUAUUAUUAACAGACCUACAGAACAUCCACAGUGCUGUGCACUGCUGGGGCUCUCUGUGCCUUUUCACAUGUUUAUUUCAGGAGCAGAUAUGUAAAUAUGUGUACACUUCUUUUUUUUUAUGUGCAUGUGACCAAACUCGUUGUAAAAUACUCGAUUGUACAUAUUGUAAAAAGCUGCUUUAUUUAAGGAUGGGUCCAUUGUCUCCUGCAAAUUAAAAUCGUGAAUCAGAAACGA